GCCGAAUCCAGGUGGAUAAAUUGGAUCAUUGGUCGAUACUUGGAUAGGGAAUGGCAUAUUCGCAUUCAGGUAUUCUCGAAUUGAAGAUGGAGGAGCUUGCCCAUUCAUCCAAGCUUCAUACAUUUCGGCCAUCUGUUGUCGCAACAUUUUUACCUCCUCCACAGACACCGAUUCUUGUGCAACCAUUUGACUUUGGACGUCAUCAUUUCCCGACUCUGUUCCCU
Molecule: long non-coding RNA, 224 nt
Filed under: Solanum tuberosum (potato)
Lineage: Eukaryota; Viridiplantae; Streptophyta; Magnoliopsida; Solanales; Solanaceae
Description: long non-coding RNA (STUB_LNC001715)
Source: RNAcentral